AAACUUAAGUUGGGGAAUUAUUGGUGCUUAACGCAGAAAUUCAGCCUUACAUUUCAGAAAAAUAACAGAUGCCUAAAUGUCAGUGGCAAGGAGGGGAGAAGGCUAUUAUUGGUUUGAUUUUUGAAGUGAGUAUAUUGCUCCAUGUGACUGUCGGCGGGCUUUUGUCUCUGGAUUCGAUGGCUCUGCGGGCACAGCCAUCAUCACAGAAGAGCAUGCAGCCAUGUGGACUGACGGGCGCUACUUUCUCCAGGCUGCCAAGCAAAUGGACAGCAAUUGGACACUUAUGAAGAUGGGUCUGAAGGACACACCAACUCAGGAAGACUGGCUGGUGAGUGUGCUUCCUGAAGGAUCCAGGGUUGGUGUGGACCCCUUGAUCAUUCCUACAGAUUAUUGGAAGAAAAUGGCCAAAGUUCUGAGAAGUGCCGGCCACCACCUCAUUCCUGUCAAGGAGAACCUCGUUGACAAAAUCUGGACAGACCGU
This 481-nucleotide small RNA is filed under the name Pongo abelii (Sumatran orangutan). RNAcentral describes it as "processed transcript". The record is from RNAcentral. Lineage: Eukaryota; Metazoa; Chordata; Mammalia; Primates; Hominidae.